RNAcentral lists this long non-coding RNA (896 nucleotides) under Sparus aurata (gilthead seabream). RNAcentral's name for it is "lncRNA (ENSSAUG00010003922.1)". The record is from RNAcentral. Lineage: Eukaryota; Metazoa; Chordata; Actinopteri; Spariformes; Sparidae.
GCGACGUGAUGCCUCAGACCGGUAUGAACUAUGAGGGCAGGAGGAGAGGAACACGUCGCAGCACCUGUAAAGCCAACGGUCUGGCCCCAGGCGCAGAUUUGGUUAAUGGAGCCGUUGUCCACAAUGGCUACCCAGCAGCUGCCACUAGAACCAAUGAGACCACACCAGCUGGUACACUGAAUGGAACCAAACCACAAUGCAUGGUUAAUGGAUAUAUUAACCACAAGUACAAGAGUAGAAAUGCGUCGCCACCAAGGACACUCAGGAAGCAUGGUAGCACUAUUCCAGCUGUCAGUGAUGCCUCAACAGCUGGCAGGGUCAACAGUGCAGACAAUUCUGGUGGUAUCUCAGUAAAUGGGGCCGCCAGUCUAGACACUGUUGCCUCACACUGUUAUUCUGAUCAAAUGGCUCCAGAGCCCAGCCUGUCAGCGGGGGCAAAGAAUCGGAGAAGAUGGAAGAAAUGUGGACGAAAGAAGAGACCCCCAACGCUGCCACCACAGGAGCAGGAGGACUGGGAAAGUGAGAUCCAAGAGGUGACGGUUCCCGACUGGGAAAAGAUGUGUUUUGGGGUCAGACCCUAUGGUCCAGAGGAUGUGCUCCACUUCGCUUUGCGGGAUUUGAGACUUAGGCAAACGCAAACCGCUGACCUGCCGUUGACAGCCAAUUACAGACCAGCAUUACACCACCCACGCCCUGUCAAAUGGUCCUGCUACAGCAUCCCCACUGAGCCGGACCAGUUUGCAGAUGCUGACGACUAUCAUGAUCUCAACCUGAAGAUGCCGUCUGUGAAACACAACACAGGCCGACAACAAAGCUGCUGCCCUGCUGACGGCUCAGGCAGCGCAUGCCAGGCAGCACGGAAAGACGAGAAGGAGGAGAGAAAUCAGGAGGAGUGA